RNAcentral lists this ribosomal RNA (612 nucleotides) under Staphylococcus aureus. Its description in RNAcentral is "bacterial SSU rRNA". It matches the Rfam family "Bacterial small subunit ribosomal RNA", at positions 923 to 1533 of the family's 1533-position model. The record is from RNAcentral. Lineage: Bacteria; Bacillati; Bacillota; Bacilli; Caryophanales; Staphylococcaceae.
GCACAAGCGGUGGAGCAUGUGGUUUAAUUCGAAGCAACGCGAAGAACCUUACCAAAUCUUGACAUCCUUUGACAACUCUAGAGAUAGAGCCUUCCCCUUCGGGGGACAAAGUGACAGGUGGUGCAUGGUUGUCGUCAGCUCGUGUCGUGAGAUGUUGGGUUAAGUCCCGCAACGAGCGCAACCCUUAAGCUUAGUUGCCAUCAUUAAGUUGGGCACUCUAAGUUGACUGCCGGUGACAAACCGGAGGAAGGUGGGGAUGACGUCAAAUCAUCAUGCCCCUUAUGAUUUGGGCUACACACGUGCUACAAUGGACAAUACAAAGGGCAGCGAAACCGCGAGGUCAAGCAAAUCCCAUAAAGUUGUUCUCAGUUCGGAUUGUAGUCUGCAACUCGACUACAUGAAGCUGGAAUCGCUAGUAAUCGUAGAUCAGCAUGCUACGGUGAAUACGUUCCCGGGUCUUGUACACACCGCCCGUCACACCACGAGAGUUUGUAACACCCGAAGCCGGUGGAGUAACCUUUUAGGAGCUAGCCGUCGAAGGUGGGACAAAUGAUUGGGGUGAAGUCGUAACAAGGUAGCCGUAUCGGAAGGUGCGGCUGGAUCACCUCCUUU